RNAcentral lists this transfer RNA (542 nucleotides) under uncultured Prochlorococcus sp. RNAcentral's name for it is "partial 16S-23S ribosomal RNA intergenic spacer". The stretch from base 212 to 284 matches the Rfam family "tRNA". Lineage: Bacteria; Bacillati; Cyanobacteriota; Cyanophyceae; Synechococcales; Prochlorococcaceae. The record is from RNAcentral.
CAGGGAGACAACAAAAUGUUUAAUAUUAUUAUUUUGUCACCUUAGGUCGAUCGGUAUCUCACGUUCUUAAUUAAUUAAGAAUUUCAUUUCCUAAGUUUUUCUAGGUCACACCCAUUAUUUUUCCUGGGCCAUUAGCUCAGGUGGUUAGAGCGCACCCCUGAUAAGGGUGAGGUCCCUGGUUCAAGUCCAGGAUGGCCCAUAUCUCUAUGUUGGGGGUAUAGCUCAGUUGGUAGAGCGCCUGCUUUGCAAGCAGGAUGUCAGCGGUUCGAGUCCGCUUACCUCCACUGAUUACCACCUCUUCCAUAAUCUGUAGAAAGGAAAUUUUUUGAGUUGUGAUCAAAUUCUGAACGAAUCUAGCUUCCUAAUGAAAGCAUUAAGAUGCUGGACUCAUUGAAUUAAUUUCAUUGUUUUCAGAGAACCUUGACAACUGCAUAGAUUAUUUUUUUAAAGACAAUAAGCAUCUUUAAUGAUGCAGAUUUAUUAUUUGUGCGAAUGCAUUAAUAACAAUUCUAUUAAGCUGAUGCUUCAAUUUUGAAGUUAUU